UACGAAGGGGGCUAGCGUUGCUCGGAAUUACUGGGCGUAAAGGGCGCGUAGGCGGAUAGUUUAGUCAGAGGUGAAAGCCCAGGGCUCAACCCUGGAAUUGCCUUUGAUACUGGCUAUCUUGAGUUCGGGAGAGGUGAGUGGAACUCCGAGUGUAGAGGUGAAAUUCGUAGAUAUUCGGAAGAACACCAGUGGCGAAGGCGACUCACUGGUCCGAUACUGACGCUGAGGCGCGAAAGCGUGGGGAGCAAACAGG
RNAcentral lists this ribosomal RNA (253 nucleotides) under uncultured bacterium. RNAcentral describes it as "partial 16S ribosomal RNA". It matches the Rfam family "Bacterial small subunit ribosomal RNA", at positions 524 to 776 of the family's 1533-position model. The record is from RNAcentral.